GAUGAACGCUGGCGGCGUGCCUAAUACAUGCAAGUCGAGCGAACAGACGAGUAGCUUGAUACUCUGACGUAAGCGGCGGAUAGCUGAGUAACACUUUGCUCACCUCCCUAUAAUACUGGGAUAACUUCGGGAAACCUACGCUAUUUCCGGAUAAUAUAUUUAGUCGCAUGGUUAAAUAUUUAUCGACGGUUUUUCUGUCCCUGAUCUAUGAAUCCGCUCCGCAUUAGAUAGUUGGUAAGGUAACGGCUUACCAAGGCGACGAUGGGUAUACGACCUGAGAGGGGGAUAGGCGACACGGGAACGGAGACGCGGUCAAGACUCCUACGGGAGGCAGCAGUAGGGAAUCUGACGCAAUGGGCGAAAGCAUGACGGAGCAGCGCAGCGUGAGAGAUGAAGGUCUCCGGAGAGUGAAACUCGGUUAUUAGGGAAGAACAAAUGUGUAAGGAACUAUGCACGUAUUGACGGUACCUAAUCAGAAAGCCACGGCUAACUACGUG
RNAcentral lists this ribosomal RNA (497 nucleotides) under uncultured bacterium. Its description in RNAcentral is "partial 16S ribosomal RNA". It matches the Rfam family "Bacterial small subunit ribosomal RNA", at positions 28 to 507 of the family's 1533-position model. The record is from RNAcentral.